ACGGGAGGCAGCAGUGAGGAAUAUUGGUCAAUGGGCGGAAGCCUGAACCAGCCAAGUCGCGUGAAGGAAGACGGUAUUAUGUAUUGUAAACUUCUUUAGACGCAGAGAAAUAAGGUGCUCGCGAGCACUGAUGCUAGUAUGCGUAGAAUAAGGAUCGGCUAACUCCGUGCCAGCAGCCGCGGUAAUACGGAGGAUCCGAGCGUUAUCCGGAUUUAUUGGGUUUAAAGGGUGCGCAGGCGGCGCUUUAAGUCAGUGGUCAAAUCGUGGGGCUCAACCUCAUCCCGCCAUUGAUACUGGAGCGCUUGAUUGCGGUUGAGGUAGGCGGAAUUCGUCGUGUAGCGGUGAAAUGCAUAGAUAUGACGAAGAACCCCGAUUGCGUAGGCAGCUGACCAAGCCGUAAGUGACGCUCAUGCACGAAAGUGCGGGGAUCGAACAGGAUUAGAUACCCUGGUA
RNAcentral lists this ribosomal RNA (453 nucleotides) under uncultured Porphyromonadaceae bacterium. RNAcentral describes it as "partial 16S ribosomal RNA". It matches the Rfam family "Bacterial small subunit ribosomal RNA", at positions 341 to 792 of the family's 1533-position model. Lineage: Bacteria; Pseudomonadati; Bacteroidota; Bacteroidia; Bacteroidales; Porphyromonadaceae. The record is from RNAcentral.